AAUCGGGCAUCAAAGUCCAUCGAUAUGAAACCUUGAUCAAAAAGUCCCAAACCAGUGGGACUCUUGACUCCGGUACCCGAAAUGUGUGGGACUCAUGAUCAGAGAAUCUUGAUUCUCGAACAUAGAGUCUCAGACAUGUAGGACUCAUAGUCCAUGAGUAUUAAGACUCUUCAUCAGCCAUCAGAUCAGAUAGGAACCUCUAAUGUGUGUGACCCCGCA
This 219-nucleotide long non-coding RNA is filed under the name Elaeis guineensis (African oil palm). RNAcentral's name for it is "long non-coding RNA (EGUI_LNC080229)". Lineage: Eukaryota; Viridiplantae; Streptophyta; Magnoliopsida; Arecales; Arecaceae. The record is from RNAcentral.